This 253-nucleotide ribosomal RNA is filed under the name uncultured bacterium. RNAcentral describes it as "partial 16S ribosomal RNA". It matches the Rfam family "Bacterial small subunit ribosomal RNA", at positions 524 to 776 of the family's 1533-position model. The record is from RNAcentral.
UACGUGGGGGGCAAGCGUUGUUCGGAAUUACUGGGCGUAAAGGGCUCGUAGGCGGCCAACUAAGUCAGACGUGAAAUCCCUCGGCUUAACCGGGGAACUGCGUCUGAUACUGGAUGGCUUGAAUCCGGGAGAGGGAUGCGGAAUUCCAGGUGUAGCGGUGAAAUGCGUAGAUAUCUGGAGGAACACCGGUGGCGAAGGCGGCAUCCUGGACCGGCAUUGACACUGAGGAGCGAAAGCCAGGGGAGCAAACGGG